UACGUAGGUGGCGAGCGUUGUCCGGAUUUACUGGGCGUAAAGGGAGCGUAGGCGGACUUUUAAGUGAGAUGUGAAAUACCCGGGCUCAACUUGGGUGCUGCAUUUCAAACUGGAAGUCUAGAGUGCAGGAGAGGAGAAUGGAAUUCCUAGUGUAGCGGUGAAAUGCGUAGAGAUUAGGAAGAACACCAGUGGCGAAGGCGAUUCUCUGGACUGUAACUGACGCUGAGGCUCGAAAGCGUUGGGAGCAAACAGGAUUAGAUACCCU
Molecule: ribosomal RNA, 265 nt
Filed under: uncultured prokaryote
Description: partial 16S ribosomal RNA
Rfam family: Bacterial small subunit ribosomal RNA
Source: RNAcentral